Molecule: ribosomal RNA, 443 nt
Filed under: uncultured bacterium
Lineage: Bacteria
Description: partial 16S ribosomal RNA
Rfam family: Bacterial small subunit ribosomal RNA
Source: RNAcentral
CCUACGGGAGGCAGCAGUGGGGGAUAUUGGACAAUGGGGGGAACCCUGAUCCAGCGACGCCGCGUGAGUGAAGAAGUAUUUCGGUAUGUAAAGCUCUGUCAGCAGGGAAGAAAGAAAUGACGGUACCUGACCAAGAAGCCACGGCUAACUACGUGCCAGCAGCCGCGGUAAUACGGAGGGGGCAAGCGUUAUCCGGACUGACUGGGUGUAAAGGGAGCGUAGACGGUUAAGUAAGUCUGGAGUGAAAGGCCGGGGCCCAACCCCGGGACUGCUCUGGAAACUAGUGAACUUGAGUGCAGGAGAGGUAAGCGGAAUUCCUAGUGUAGCGGUGAAAUGCGUAGAUAUUAGGAGGAACACCAGUGGCGAAGGCGGCUUACUGGACUGUAACUGACGUUGAGGCUCGAAAGCGUGGGGAGCAAACAGGAUUAGAUACCCUUGUAGUC